GACGAACGCUGGCGGCGUGCUUAACACAUGCAAGUCGAACGCUGAAGCCCUGGCUUUUGUUGGGUUGGAUGAGUGGCGAACGGGUGAGUAACACGUGAGUAACCUGCCCUCUUCUUUGGGAUAACGCCCGGAAACGGGUGCUAAUACUGGAUAUUCACUGAUCUUCGCAUGGGGGUUGGUGGAAAGGUUUGUUCUGGUGGGGGAUGGGCUCGCGGCCUAUCAGCUUGUUGGUGGGGUGAUGGCCUACCAAGGCUUUGACGGGUAGCCGGCCUGAGAGGGUGACCGGUCACAUUGGGACUGAGAUACGGCCCAGACUCCUACGGGAGGCAGCAGUGGGGAAUAUUGCACAAUGGGCGAAAGCCUGAUGCAGCGACGCCGCGUGAGGGAUGGAGGCCUUCGGGUUGUAAACCUCUUUCGCUCAUGGUCAAGCCGCAACUGUGGGUUGUGGUGAGGGUAGUGGGUAAAGAAGCGCCGGCUAACUACGU
RNAcentral lists this ribosomal RNA (485 nucleotides) under uncultured bacterium. RNAcentral's name for it is "partial 16S ribosomal RNA". It matches the Rfam family "Bacterial small subunit ribosomal RNA", at positions 28 to 506 of the family's 1533-position model. The record is from RNAcentral.